This 242-nucleotide ribosomal RNA is filed under the name uncultured Glomus. RNAcentral's name for it is "partial 18S ribosomal RNA". It matches the Rfam family "Eukaryotic small subunit ribosomal RNA", at positions 569 to 817 of the family's 1831-position model. Lineage: Eukaryota; Fungi; Glomeromycota; Glomeromycetes; Glomerales; Glomeraceae. The record is from RNAcentral.
AGCAGCCGCGGUAAUUCCAGCUCCAAUAGCGUAUAUUAAAGUUGCUGCAGUUAAAAAGCUCGUAGUUGAAUUUCGGGACUAAUAUGUCGGUCGUGCCUCGGUACGUACUGGUAUUUUUGGUUUCUCCCUUCUGACGAACCUUGAUGUCAUUAAUUUGGUGUCUUGGGAAAUCAGGACUGUUACUUUGAAAAAAUUAGAGUGUCUAAAGCAGGCUCACGCUUGAAUACAUUAGCAUGGAAUAA